RNAcentral lists this ribosomal RNA (449 nucleotides) under uncultured bacterium. RNAcentral's name for it is "bacterial SSU rRNA". It matches the Rfam family "Bacterial small subunit ribosomal RNA", at positions 29 to 523 of the family's 1533-position model. The record is from RNAcentral.
AACGAACGCUGGCGGCAUGCCUAACACAUGCAAGUCGAACGAGACCUUCGGGUCUAGUGGCGCACGGGUGCGUAACGCGUGGGAAUCUGCCCUUGGGUUCGGAAUAACAGCGAGAAAUUGCUGCUAAUACCGGAUGAUGACGUAAGUCCAAAGAUUUAUCGCCCAAGGAUGAGCCCGCGUAGGAUUAGCUAGUUGGUGAGGUAAAGGCUCACCAAGGCGACGAUCCUUAGCUGGUCUGAGAGGAUGAUCAGCCACACUGGGACUGAGACACGGCCCAGACUCCUACGGGAGGCAGCAGUGGGGAAUAUUGGACAAUGGGCGAAAGCCUGAUCCAGCAGUGCCGCGUGAGUGAUGAAGGCCUUAGGGUUGUAAAGCUCUUUUACCCGGGAUGAUAAUGACAGUACCGGGAGAAUAAGCUCCGGCUAACUCCGUGCCAGCAGCCGCGGUAA